This is a long non-coding RNA of Sander lucioperca (pikeperch), 142 nucleotides long. RefSeq lists it as uncharacterized. NCBI's taxonomy places the organism in Eukaryota, Metazoa, Chordata, Actinopteri, Perciformes, Percidae. The record is from RefSeq and is a predicted model, not a curated record. The transcript has 2 exons.
UUAUGUCAUCCAGCUCUGGCAUUGUAUGAUGGAGGAAAGCUUGUAAGACACAUUUGUACUACACUUGUAUUUAAGGAAUAAACAGUAUUAUUUGGGAGCUUUUUCUUCUUUCUAAAUAAAUCUUUGUAUUUUUGUCAUGAUA